CCUACGGGGGGCUGCAGCUAAGAAUAUUCCGCAAUGGACGAAAGUCUGACGGAGCGACGCCGCGUGGACGACGAAGGCCGAAAGGUUGUAAAGUCCUUUUGCCGAUGAAGAAUAAGUGGGGGAGGGAAUGCCCUCACGAUGACGUUAGUCGGUGAAUAAGCCCCGGCUAAUUACGUGCCAGCAGCCGCGGUAACACGUAAGGGGCGAGCGUUGUUCGGAAUUAUUGGGCGUAAAGGGCGCGUAGGCGGUACUGCAAGCCCGGCGUGAAAACCAGGGGCUUAACUUCUGGCUUGCGCUGGGAACUGCGGUACUAGAGUCACGGAAGGGGAGCUGGAAUUCCAGGUGUAGGGGUGAAAUCUGUAGAUAUCUGGAAGAACACCGGUGGCGAAGGCGAGCUUCUGGCUGAUGACUGACGCUGAGGCGCGAAAGCGUGGGGAGCAAACAGGAUUAGAUACCCGAGUAGUC
RNAcentral lists this ribosomal RNA (465 nucleotides) under uncultured Spirochaetaceae bacterium. RNAcentral describes it as "bacterial SSU rRNA". It matches the Rfam family "Bacterial small subunit ribosomal RNA", at positions 338 to 795 of the family's 1533-position model. Lineage: Bacteria; Pseudomonadati; Spirochaetota; Spirochaetia; Spirochaetales; Spirochaetaceae. The record is from RNAcentral.